UGGGGAAUUUUGCACAAUGGGGGAAACCCUGAUGCAGCGACGCCGCGUGAUUUAGAAGGCCUUCGGGUUGUAAAAAUCUUUUCUAUGGGAAGAAAAUGACAGUACCAUAGGAAUAAGGACCGGCUAAAUACGUGCCAGCAGCCGCGGUAAUACGUAAGGUCCGAGCGUUGUCCGGAAUCAUUGGGCGUAAAGGGUACGUAGGCGGGUAAGCAAGUUAGAAGUGAAAUCCUAUAGCUCAACUAUAGUAAGCUUUUAAAACUGCUCAUCUUGAGGUAUGGAAGGGAAAGUGGAAUUCCUAGUGUAGCGGUGAAAUGCGCAGAUAUUAGGAGGAAUACCGGUGGCGAAGGCGACUUUCUGGCCAUAACCUGACGCUGAGGUACGAAAGCGUGGGUAGCAAACAGG
Molecule: ribosomal RNA, 402 nt
Filed under: bacterium
Lineage: Bacteria
Description: partial 16S ribosomal RNA
Rfam family: Bacterial small subunit ribosomal RNA
Source: RNAcentral